This 504-nucleotide ribosomal RNA is filed under the name Mycobacterium interjectum. RNAcentral's name for it is "bacterial SSU rRNA". It matches the Rfam family "Bacterial small subunit ribosomal RNA", at positions 1 to 524 of the family's 1533-position model. The record is from RNAcentral. Lineage: Bacteria; Bacillati; Actinomycetota; Actinomycetes; Mycobacteriales; Mycobacteriaceae.
UGGAGAGUUUGAUCCUGGCUCAGGACGAACGCUGGCGGCGUGCUUAACACAUGCAAGUCGAACGGAAAGGCCCCUUCGGGGGUACUCGAGUGGCGAACGGGUGAGUAACACGUGGGUAAUCUGCCCUGCACUUCGGGAUAAGCCUGGGAAACUGGGUCUAAUACCGGAUAGGACCUCGAGGCGCAUGCCUUGUGGUGGAAAGCUUUUGCGGUGUGGGAUGGGCCCGCGGCCUAUCAGCUUGUUGGUGGGGUGACGGCCUACCAAGGCGACGACGGGUAGCCGGCCUGAGAGGGUGUCCGGCCACACUGGGACUGAGAUACGGCCCAGACUCCUACGGGAGGCAGCAGUGGGGAAUAUUGCACAAUGGGCGCAAGCCUGAUGCAGCGACGCCGCGUGGGGGAUGACGGCCUUCGGGUUGUAAACCUCUUUCAGCAGGGACGAAGCGCAAGUGACGGUACCUGCAGAAGAAGCACCGGCCAACUACGUGCCAGCAGCCGCGGUAUC